This 218-nucleotide ribosomal RNA is filed under the name uncultured bacterium. Its description in RNAcentral is "partial 16S ribosomal RNA". It matches the Rfam family "Bacterial small subunit ribosomal RNA", at positions 28 to 245 of the family's 1533-position model. The record is from RNAcentral.
GACGAACGCUGGCAGCGUGCUUAACACAUGCAAGUCGAGCGGUAAGGCCCUUUCGGGGGUACGACGAGCGGCGAACGGGUGGAGUAACACGUGGGUGACCUGCCCUCAGCUCUGGGAUAAGCCUGGGAAACCGGGUCUAAUACCGGAUAUGACUCCAUGACGCAUGUUGUGGGGUGGAAANCCUUGUGCGGCUGAGGAUGGGCCCGCGGCCUAUCAGC